GUGGGGAGCAAACAGGAUUAGAUACCCUGGUAGUCCAUGCCGUAAACGAUGAGUGCUAAGUGUUGGAGGGUUUUCCGCCCUUCAGUGCUGCAGCUAACGCAUUAAGCACUCCGCCUGGGGAGUACGACCGCAAGGUUGAAACUCAAAGGAAUUGACGGGGGCCCGCACAAGCGGUGGAGCAUGUGGUUUAAUUCGAUGCUACGCGAAGAACCUUACCAGGUCUUGACAUCUUAUGCCAACCUAAGAGAUUAGGCGUUCCCUUCGGGGACAGAAUGACAGGUGGUGCAUGGUUGUCGUCAGCUCGUGUCGUGAGAUGUUGGGUUAAGUCCCGCAACGAGCGCAACCCUUAUUGUUAGUUGCCAGCAUUCAGUUGGGCACUCUAGCAAGACUGCCGGUGACAAACCGGAGGAAGGUGGGGAUGACGUCAAGUCAUCAUGCCCCUUAUGACCUGGGCUACACACGUGCUACAAUGGGCAGUACAACGAGGAGCGAACUUGUGAAGGCAAGCGAAUCUCUGAAAGCUGUUCUCAGUUCGGACUGUAGGCUGCAACUCGCCUACACGAAGCUGGAAUCGCUAGUAAUCGCGGAUCAGCACGCCGCGGUGAAUACGUUCCCGGGCCUUGUACACACCGCCCGUCACACCAUGAGAGUUUGUAACACCCAAAGCCGGCCGGAUAACCUAGUUUACUAGGAGUCAGCCGUCUAAGGUGGGACAAAUGAUUAGGGUGAAGUCGUAACAA
Molecule: ribosomal RNA, 740 nt
Filed under: uncultured Lactobacillus sp.
Lineage: Bacteria; Bacillati; Bacillota; Bacilli; Lactobacillales; Lactobacillaceae
Description: bacterial SSU rRNA
Rfam family: Bacterial small subunit ribosomal RNA
Source: RNAcentral